Melozone crissalis (California towhee) is the source of this 2915-nucleotide long non-coding RNA. RefSeq lists it as uncharacterized. The transcript has 4 exons. NCBI's taxonomy places the organism in Eukaryota, Metazoa, Chordata, Aves, Passeriformes, Passerellidae. The record is from RefSeq and is a predicted model, not a curated record.
GCCAAGCUCGGAGGAGGACAUCUGGUUGCACUUCUCUUAUCUGGGAGCUUCUCUCCGAGGGUCAGAGAUACCGCAGGAAUUGGGCAGAGGUGUACUUCAGCUUUCGAAUGCAUCAUUUGAAAACAAGAGAUGGCAUGCACUGAAGCUGGGAAAAUACCAUGCUUCAUAAAUUGAGGGGAAAAUUUGGCCUUCAUAAUGGAAAAUUCAGAGUGAAGUCCAGACUUUACUAGAGUCAGUGGAAAAACUCCCAUUGACCUUACAGGGGUCAUGGGUCUGCUUUACUUUCUAAGCUGCCACUCAGAGAGAUGGUGAGGAGAAAGCACUCUUAAUCUGUCCAUCCUGAGCCAGGAAUUAAAUAGAAUUCUUGGAUGCAGAAGCUCUGGCUUGAAAUUCCAUCUGAACAACAUUCAGAGCCCUACUACAUAAUCUCCAGCUAUCUAAGAAGAUUUCCACAGCUGGCAUCUCUAUGUCUAUUAUUAUUUCUACAUAUUGAAGUUGGUCCUCUAAUCAAUACAAUAUAAACUACAGCUGUGCCUGUGGCUUCUCCUCUCCAACCCUAAGUUCUCCCCUUCUCCAACACCAGCAUUCUUGGGAGCUGAAGCAGCAGGGAUUGAAAACAUCCAUAGACAUUCCCCAUGUUGUUUUUUGACUCCUGGAGGCAAUGGAGUGGGCAGUGAGAGCUGCAAGAGGGGCAGUAGGUCAGUGGGUAGUGAGAGCUGCAAGGGGGGCAGUGGACCAGUGGACAAUGGGCUGGAGAGACAGUUUCCUUGAGAACCUGGCCCAUAUGCAGGCUGCCUCAUGCUCACUAAUUUUCACCUGCCCUAGCCUAGCAGGUCAGAUUCAUACAGUCUGACAUGAGGAUGAGGGUGACAAAACCACCAUGUACUUGAUGGUCAAUCAUCAAGAAUGAAAUUCCUCAGUGUUUGCCCCCCAUUAGUGAUGGUCACUGCCUAUUAGCUGUCUUUUCUGUGUAUGAAGUUGCUAUUCAGGCAAAUAACUGAAGGCAAUAAAGCCUCAAACCAGCAGAGAGGUAAGGAAAAAUAAAACUGGGGAAAAAAAUUAAGGCUGUCCUUGCCGUGACAAAUAGUCACAAGAAUAAGUGAGCUUUAUUUUUGAAAUGUCUCUAUAAACAAAGACCCCCACACUCAAGCAUUUUUAUGAUUUGCGGUUUGUUUUUGCUGUUGUGCACACUAAUAAGAUAUGACUGUACCUGAACUGCCCUAAUGUUAUGAAUUUCCAGGCUGCUGGAAAGCUGGUAAACACAGCUGUUAUCAUAACAGUCUCCUCAGCAGGCAGGACAGCAAGCCUAAGCUGAGCAGCAGUUUCUCUAUCAUCCCUACCUGGAGAAUAUCUGGGAACAGCAUGGAUUACACGCAUGAGCAACCUGAUCCUGGGCCAGGGAAUUCAAAAGAUAUGAGUCAUGUCACCACACAAUUCAGCAGUGGGCAAGGUCAAAGAUAUCAGGAUGCACUAAAAUCAGGUGCCAAACAUGCGUAAGACAAUGUCAGUAUAUAAUUUCAAAUACAGAGUGCAGCCUGAAAUAAAUUUAUUUUUAUUAUAGGUUCCUUUUGGAAAAGUGCUCCUACAGUGGAGCUUUCAAAUUGGAAAUUGCAUCUAGCACAUUAUCUAUAGUUAUUGGGCCAUCCUAGUGUUGCCCCAGAGAUUACCUGAAUGAAUAGGAGUGGAAGAAUUGAUGCUAACAAUAAUUUAUAGCUACAUUUUUGUCAGUAUGAAGAGAGGAAAAUAGCACAAGUAGCACAUUGCCCAUGAAAUUAGCCAUUAGUAAUGUUUUAGUUUAAAUGGUUUGGGAAUGGAUCUGUGAGGUUUUUGCCUUGGUGAUGUAUUGGGUUUUGGGGGUAUUUUGGUUUGAUUAAUCUUACAAACUGAAAGGUGUCCAUUUAUGACUCUUUAUUGGUUCUUGACUUAAGUGUUUUGGGUGCCAUGACCUUUUGACAAAAAAUUACAAGUGAGUUAAGCAACACCCUUUGUACUGACCCUUAUCAGACCUUGAAAUGUGAGGUUUCAAGAAGCUGCAGAGGUGGCCAGUGUAUGAAAUGUAUUUAGAUUAUAUUUCACUAAGUAUAUAUCAACAAGUCUUUCAUACAGUAUUAUCCUUCAGAAUUUUGAUUUAGGAAACAUCAGGUAAGCUUUAAGUUUUUAUUAUUCUCUCUUUUUUUUUCUGCUUCCUUGUUAUGAAGACACAGUUAAAUAAUAUUCAGGAUAAAUAAAGUAAAGUCAUUGUUUCUUCUCUUUUUUUAACUCCUACCAAAUGUCCAAGCUUUUAACCAUAAACUAACUUGUGAGCUCCUACUGCAAAACUGUGAGUGCCUGAAAUCAACCUCUUAGCUGAUAAGUUGGCGUUUAAACAUCUCAUGUGUUGAUAGGACAAAAGAGCUUUUAUUUGUGUGUGCUUUGUCUAGCCUGGGUGAGCAAACAAGGUUUUCUAAUACUGGGUAGAGCACACUUAACAGUUCAUGAUCAACUUCUUAGAAAUGUUCCAAAUAGUUUAUUAAAUACUUAAUGUGUGGUAAAAUUCAAUUAUACACUGUUUCGCUGGUAACUACCCUUGCUGGUAAAAACUAUGACUUAUUUUUCCAAUUUUUUCCCCUGACUUCAAGUUUCACAACUGGAUUUUUGUCUGCUUGUUUCCUAUCAGUACAUUUAUGAGUACUAUUUUAAAUUCGUGUUUCAGACACAGUGGUGUAUUGAAUAAAAGAAGCGGAAAACACCAACACUGGUACAUGUUACCUCUUUAAGUUACUUUAUCCCCAAUAUGAAGUAAUCACAUAAUUUCAUACAAUUAAUUCAUUUACAUCUUCUCAGUUUCCAAAAAUAGGUGUCCUCCACUUCUCACUUUAAAUGGUAGUUCUUAUUAAAGCAAGAAGCUUGCUCUGAUCUUUCACUGCUUGAGCAUA